UAUGUGAUCGUCUCUCGCAUAUCAAUAAGCGGAGGAAAAGAAACUAACAAGGAUUCCCCUAGUACGGCGAGUGAAGCGGGAAGAGCUCAAAUUUGAAAUCUUAAAGGGUUUCCCUUUACGAAUUGUAGUUUAAAGAAGUGUUUUCUGUUGAGGUUUUGGUAAAAGUUCUUGGAAUAGGACAUCAUAGAGGGUGAGAAUCCCGUAUUUGACCUUUGCUUUCAACUUUGUGAUACACUUUCAAGGAGUCGGAUUGUUUGGGAAUGCAGUCCAAAAUGGGUGGUAAAUUUCAUCUAAAGCUAAAUAUUGGCGAGAGACCGAUAGCGAACAAGUACCGUGAGGGAAAGAUGAAAGGAACUUUGAAAAGAGAGUUAAACAGUACGUGAAAUUGUCAAAAGGGAAGCGUUUGACACCAGUGUUGUUUUUCUGAAAAUCAAUUAAAGAACUGUUUAUGCUAAGUUGUUUAGACUUUAUCAGCUAUCUGCUUAGUUUUGAGCUUUUCUUUAAUGCACUUUUCAGUUAACAAGUCAACAUCAAUUUCUUUUGCUGUAAAAAAGCUUGAGGAAGGUGGCUUGAGAUUCGUCUUAAGUGUUUAUAGCCUCUUGCCUAUGCAGUCGGAGAGAUUGAGGUCUGCAGCGUAGAUCCUUCGGGGCUAAAUGCAUUUGUGCUAAGUUAUAGCAUUUUAUAGACAACUUGUUGACUAUGAUUUGUCUUGUAGCUUACUCGCUUAUGUUAUUUUACCUACGCUUAGGAUGUUGACGAGACUGUCGAUCUC
RNAcentral lists this ribosomal RNA (772 nucleotides) under uncultured Neocallimastigales. RNAcentral describes it as "partial large subunit ribosomal RNA". It matches the Rfam family "Eukaryotic large subunit ribosomal RNA", at positions 24 to 647 of the family's 3401-position model. Lineage: Eukaryota; Fungi; Neocallimastigomycota; Neocallimastigomycetes; Neocallimastigales. The record is from RNAcentral.